This 324-nucleotide unclassified non-coding RNA is filed under the name soil metagenome. RNAcentral's name for it is "partial contains 5.8S ribosomal RNA, internal transcribed spacer 2, and large subunit ribosomal RNA". The stretch from base 1 to 120 matches the Rfam family "5.8S ribosomal RNA", at positions 35 to 154 of the family's 154-position model. The record is from RNAcentral.
GAUGAAGAACGCAGCGAAAUGCGAUAAGUAAUGCGAAUUGCAGAAUUCAGUGAGUCAUCGAAUCUUUGAGCGCACAUUGCGCCCUGUGGUAUUCCGCAGGGCAUGCCUGUUCGAGCGUCAUUUCAACCCUCAAGCCUCGCUUGGUGUUGGGCCCUGCCCGCCGCGGCCGGCCCUAAAGAUAGUGGCGGCGCCGCCUGGCCCUCAGCGUAGUACAGCUCUCGCUCCAGGGUCCGGCGGCAGCCUGCCAGAACCCCCCAACUCUGUGGUUGACCUCGGAUCAGGUAGGGAUACCCGCUGAACUUAAGCAUAUCAAUAAGCGGAGGA